This 114-nucleotide ribosomal RNA is filed under the name Zingiber officinale. Lineage: Eukaryota; Viridiplantae; Streptophyta; Magnoliopsida; Zingiberales; Zingiberaceae. The record is from RNAcentral.
GCGAUCAUUCCAGCACUAAUGCAACUGAUCCCAUCAAAACACCAAAGUUAAACGUGCUUGGGCGAGAGCAGUACUAGGAUGGGUGACCCCUUGGGAAGUCCUCGUGUUGCACCU